This 949-nucleotide ribosomal RNA is filed under the name uncultured Lachnospiraceae bacterium. Its description in RNAcentral is "bacterial SSU rRNA". It matches the Rfam family "Bacterial small subunit ribosomal RNA", at positions 8 to 949 of the family's 1533-position model. Lineage: Bacteria; Bacillati; Bacillota; Clostridia; Lachnospirales; Lachnospiraceae. The record is from RNAcentral.
AGAGUUUGAUCCUGGCUCAGGAUGAACGCUAGCUACAGGCUUAACACAUGCAAGUCGAGGGGCAGCAUGGUCUUAGCUUGCUAAGGCCGAUGGCGACCGGCGCACGGGUGAGUAACACGUAUCCAACCUGCCGUCUACUCUUGGACAGCCUUCUGAAAGGAAGAUUAAUACAAGAUGGCAUCAUGAGUCCGCAUGUUCACAUGAUUAAAGGUAUUCCGGUAGACGAUGGGGAUGCGUUCCAUUAGAUAGUAGGCGGGGUAACGGCCCACCUAGUCUUCGAUGGAUAGGGGUUCUGAGAGGAAGGUCCCCCACAUUGGAACUGAGACACGGUCCAAACUCCUACGGGAGGCAGCAGUGAGGAAUAUUGGUCAAUGGGCGAGAGCCUGAACCAGCCAAGUAGCGUGAAGGAUGACUGCCCUAUGGGUUGUAAACUUCUUUUAUAAAGGAAUAAAGUCGGGUAUGGAUACCCGUUUGCAUGUACUUUAUGAAUAAGGAUCGGCUAACUCCGUGCCAGCAGCCGCGGUAAUACGGAGGAUCCGAGCGUUAUCCGGAUUUAUUGGGUUUAAAGGGAGCGUAGAUGGAUGUUUAAGUCAGUUGUGAAAGUUUGCGGCUCAACCGUAAAAUUGCAGUUGAUACUGGAUAUCUUGAGUGCAGUUGAGGCAGGCGGAAUUCGUGGUGUAGCGGUGAAAUGCUUAGAUAUCACGAAGAACUCCGAUUGCGAAGGCAGCCUGCUAAGCUGCAACUGACAUUGAGGCUCGAAAGUGUGGGUAUCAAACAGGAUUAGAUACCCUGGUAGUCCACACGGUAAACGAUGAAUACUCGCUGUUUGCGAUAUACUGCAAGCGGCCAAGCGAAAGCGUUAAGUAUUCCACCUGGGGAGUACGCCGGCAACGGUGAAACUCAAAGGAAUUGACGGGGGCCCGCACAAGCGGAGGAACAUGUGGUUUAA